RNAcentral lists this transfer RNA (85 nucleotides) under Candidatus Uhrbacteria bacterium CG_4_10_14_0_2_um_filter_41_21. RNAcentral's name for it is "tRNA-Leu". It matches the Rfam family "tRNA". Rfam says of the family: Transfer RNA (tRNA) molecules are approximately 80 nucleotides in length. Their secondary structure includes four short double-helical elements and three loops (D, anti-codon, and T loops). Further hydrogen bonds mediate the characteristic L-shaped molecular structure. tRNAs have two regions of fundamental functional importance: the anti-codon, which is responsible for specific mRNA codon recognition, and the 3' end, to which the tRNAs corresponding amino acid is attached (by aminoacyl-tRNA synthetases). tRNAs cope with the degeneracy of the genetic code in two manners: having more than one tRNA (with a specific anti-codon) for a particular amino acid; and 'wobble' base-pairing, i.e. permitting non-standard base-pairing at the 3rd anti-codon position. The record is from RNAcentral. RNAcentral also lists the same sequence under 3 other names. Lineage: Bacteria; Candidatus Uhriibacteriota.
GGGCGAGUGGUGAAAUUGGUAUACACGUUAGUCUUAGGAACUAAUGCCGCAAGGUGUGAGGGUUCGAGUCCCUCCUCGCCCACCA